RNAcentral lists this ribosomal RNA (553 nucleotides) under uncultured bacterium. Its description in RNAcentral is "bacterial SSU rRNA". It matches the Rfam family "Bacterial small subunit ribosomal RNA", at positions 94 to 630 of the family's 1533-position model. The record is from RNAcentral.
AGUGGCGCACGGGUGAGUAACACGUGGGUAACCUGCCCUCGAGACCGGGAUACCCCCUCGAAAGGGGGGCUAAUACUGGAUACGCUCCUCGGGUCGCAAGACCUGGGGAGGAAAAGGCGGCGAAAGCUGCCGCUCUUGGAGGGGCUCGCGGCCUAUCAGCUAGUUGGUGAGGUAACGGCUCACCAAGGCGAUGACGGGUAGCUGGUCUGAGAGGACGACCAGCCACACGGGGACUGAGACACGGCCCCGACUCCUACGGGAGGCAGCAGUGGGGAAUUUUCCGCAAUGGGCGAAAGCCUGACGGAGUGACGCCGCGUGGGGGACGAAGGCCUUCGGGUCGUAAACCCCUGUCAGGGGGAAAGAAGGGGAUCGGCGUGAAUAGCGCCGGUCUCUGACGGUACCUCCAGAGGAAGCCCCGGCCAACUCUGUGCCAGCAGCCGCGGUAAGACAGAGGGGGCAAGCGUUGCUCGGAAUUACUGGGCGUAAAGGGCGUGUAGGCGGGAUGGCAAGUCGGUCGUGAAAUCCUUCGGCUUAACCGAAGAAGGGCGUCCGA